Molecule: long non-coding RNA, 282 nt
Organism: Gymnogyps californianus (California condor)
Lineage: Eukaryota; Metazoa; Chordata; Aves; Accipitriformes; Cathartidae
Exons: 2
Source: RefSeq, a predicted model, not a curated record
GAACAAUUAAACAUAGCCUUGAAAGACAUAGAAUAAGGGAGUAAAUAAGUGAUAAAGCAGGUGCGCAGAAAAGAAGCUGAAGACUGAAAUAACUUGGAACACAGAUAUGAGACCGAAGACAGAAGACGUGUGUCUUGCUCAACAGCACCAAUCAGAAGCUUAGCCGUGGCGUGUGAACAGAAAGUAUUAACUAAUCAUGGAACAAGCCCGAGCGCGUGGACAGCUAAUGAAUCUAUAUAAGCACAAACUUGUAAACAAUAAAGGUCUUUGGUUUUACCCGCA